GAGUUUGAUCUUGGCUCAGAUUGAACGCUGGCGGCAUGCCUUACACAUGCAAGUCGAACGGCAGCAUGAUCUAGCUUGCUAGAUUGAUGGCGAGUGGCGAACGGGUGAGUAAUACAUCGGAACGUGCCCUGUAGUGGGGGAUAACUAGUCGAAAGAUUAGCUAAUACCGCAUACGACCUGAGGGUGAAAGUGGGGGACCGCAAGGCCUCAUGCUAUAGGAGCGGCCGAUGUCUGAUUAGCUAGUUGGUGGGGUAAAGGCCCACCAAGGCGACGAUCAGUAGCUGGUCUGAGAGGACGAUCAGCCACACUGGGACUGAGACACGGCCCAGACUCCUACGGGAGGCAGCAGUGGGGAAUUUUGGACAAUGGGCGAAAGCCUGAUCCAGCAAUGCCGCGUGUGAAGAAGGCCUCGGUUGUAAG
This 420-nucleotide ribosomal RNA is filed under the name uncultured microorganism. RNAcentral's name for it is "bacterial SSU rRNA". It matches the Rfam family "Bacterial small subunit ribosomal RNA", at positions 9 to 429 of the family's 1533-position model. The record is from RNAcentral.